Non-coding RNA from Marmota flaviventris (yellow-bellied marmot), 1399 nucleotides. The record is from RefSeq and is a predicted model, not a curated record. NCBI's taxonomy places the organism in Eukaryota, Metazoa, Chordata, Mammalia, Rodentia, Sciuridae.
CCCUCCCUGGGUUUUCCCCGGAAACCGUCCCCUAAUCAGAGGCAGGAGAUCCAGGUAGAGGCUGCUGCACGGAUUCUGGAUCCUCUGGCGCCCGGCUCCAGAUGAAAUGACCCAGCAUUUGGCCCAUGACUCCACCCUUCACUUCGUCUCCCAGAAAGAGAACCAAAAGGAUCGGCUCUGACAUCCUGUAGCCAUGUCAUCUGCUCUGCUGGGUUGCAGGGACCAAGGUGGAUCUCCAGGAUCAUGUGUCCUCCAGGACAAGUGGCUUCAGGAGUGGGGGAUGUCACGUACCUGAAUCAAUAUUUCCACUAAGCCCCUAAGUCCUGCUCUGAGUGGGGCAUUGUGACAAGUGUGACCAUGGGGGUAGUUGGAAACUUCUUAGAGUUGGACAAACCCAUUAGGACUCAUAUCCACUACCACGGUUGAGAUAGAAAAGAGUUCCAUCACCCCCAGAAGUUUCCCGGUGCCCCUCAAAAGCCAGCCCCGGCCAACACUGAUCUGGGACUUCUGGCAAGAUGGCUUAGCAGAGGUGCCAGACGGCUUCCCACCCACAAAGAGGGACCUCAGCAAGGAAUCAACAGUUUCUGACAAGAACAUUUAGAGGAGAACGCUGGAGUGCCAUGCGGAUAAUAUGGAGAAGCUGUGGAUCGUGGCCUUAUAAAGAAGGGAGGGAAGUGCCUUGUGUCUUCCACGAUAGGGAAAAGGCAAGCGGGAGGACCCCAGUGAUCCCCACUGACGCCACAGACACCUGAGGUUUCACCCGGGGAGUCCUGAGCCCCGAACCCAGCUGGGGAGCUGACAUGAGUGUCCACCUCUACCUUGGCCCAGAGAGGGAGCCCAGUCCAUGCUGCACCUUCUUUCAACCUGGCUGAUGCUGCAUGGCGCCAUUUUGAAGCUAACCCCCCCCCCCCCGCCCCCAUGUCCCUAGCCCUGCUGCAUGCCCCACACCACUCCCACUCUGGGCCUGCUGGAGGAGCUCCACCCCACAUAACCCUCAGGAUCUGACAGGUGCCCUGGGCCCACCAGAGCGGCUCUGACCCCACCCAGCCCCCAGAAACUGAUGGGUGCCCCGUACCCACAGCAAAACACACCAUGCCAGAGUCACAGGCACACCCACACCCACAGGCAUCACUGAUUUCAGAGGAGAAGCGGCAGGAGGACUAUACCACCAUGCCCACCCAGAACUGCCACCAACGUAGCCUACUCAGCAGCACCCAAGACACAUCUCCAGGGGAAAAGUCUCACUACAACCUGUGGUUUUGCACCAUGAUGUGAGCAACUUCUGCCACACACUCCCCACCAUGAUGUACUGACUUGCCACAGGCUCAAAGGCCAAGGGACAAGUGAUGAAGUUUCAAAUCCUCUGAAACUGUGAGCCAAAAUAAACCUUUCCUCCUUA